CAUCCUGGGGAACAUAAGUAAAAGAGUAUUUAAAUGAUUAUGAUUUGCAGUAAUAUUUAAAAGCCAUCUACAGUUUCAAGCCAAUUGUAAGUACAUUUAAGAUUAUAAUACGGUUUGAAAGGUUAUAUCGUAACUGUCAACAUUUGCUUUAAUGUACAUGUGUUAUCAAGAGUUGUUUUUUUUACAUGUGCAUCUUCUUUUCAUAAAUCUUGAAAUUUUUCGUGGUUUAAUCUAGCUUCAUCAAUUGGCUAUCUUCAAGAACGUUUAACUUUCAUUUGUUUUGAUUUAAUCGGUUAAACUGGUAAUUUUCUGACAAAAGGAAAAUAAAAAAAUAUCAAUGCCAAAGUAUUUGUUCUCUCAUAAGCAACACGACUGGUGCCACAUGUAGAGCAAGAUCUUCCUACCCUUCCGGAGCACCUGAGAUCACCCCUAGUUUUUGGUGGGGUUCGUGUUGUUUAUUUUUUAGUUUUCUAUGUCGUGUCAUGUGUAAUAUUGUUUGUCUGUUUGCCCUUUUCAUUUUUAGCCAUGGCGUUGUCAGUUUAUUUUCGAUUUAUGAGUUUGACUGUCCCUCUGGUAUCUUUCGUCCCUAUUUUAUUGCUGAAAACUGCCUAGCAAAAUUUAACGAGUGUUCUAAUUAUUGUCAAAAUAUACUUUUUCCUUUUGUAUAUUCUCUUAAUUUAAGGCAUCUAACAACAAUUAUUAAUGAAUCUAAAGAGUGUAAUACUAACUAGUAUAUAAACUACUCUUAGACAUAUGCCUUGAUGUGAGAUGUUUAUCUAUAGGUAAAACCAGGCUUAUUCUUCAUUUUAAUUACAAAGUGCUUGUACCAAUGUUAGGAAUAAGAAAGUUUCUGUUAUUUGUUCUGUUGGCUGAACGCCUAACGUUUGACCUUGUCACUGUUAAUGGACUUACCACUUUAGUAUUAACCUUUGAGUACGGUAUGUUUAUGAAUACAACGCUUAUUCUUAUUUUAGAUGCAUCUGGUUUGCGCACAAAAUGUAAUAUUCGGUUGAUAAUAUACAUGUUACAGGAUACCAAACAAAAUGUAAAAAAUAUUUAUUUGUCAAAUUAACUGCAUUUCAUUGACCUAUGUUAAGUAUAUAAUUUCAUUUCUUAAUUUUUUAGAAAAUCAUUUGAUAUUUUAAUUUUUGCUGCGUUUCAUUUAAUAUAGUAAUAACACAUAACAAUGUGUGUGCAUCUUGCGGAAUAUAAGAGGAAGAAUAUUUAAAAAUCAUAACUUGCAUAAAACCUUUUGAUGUCAUUACAAGUUUUAAAUCAAUUGUAAGCACUUUCAAAGAUAUGAUAAUUUUAUAUAUAUAUAUAUAUAUAUAGUUACUGUCAACGCUUACUUUAUGUAUAAACAGGAAUUGUGUUUUUAAUUUUGAGUCAUCUGCUUUAGUAAAGCAGGAACGUUUUUUGUUGUUUAAUCUAACUUCAUAAAUAUUCCAUCCGAUGAUCAUUUUACUGCAGGAGCAUGAUUUCUAUAAUUGAAAUUACAGAACAUAUAUAGAAAAAUUAAAUUGCAGCUGUAUAAAUAUUUCUUCUUCACCAAUGAAAAAAAGUUUUUAUAAUUUUUUUGUCAUCUAAAAAUCAUCUUUGUUACACGUUUCUUUACUGUUAUAAAAAAAUGACUCUACGUAUGUUUACAUUUUACUAGAUUAUUUAGCAUAUACCAUCUAAUAGUCACUGACUUAACAUAAAAAGUAUUGCAAUUUGAUAGAAAAGAAACUACGGUGUAACCUGCCUAAUCCGACUCCUGAGUAUUCCAACAUCCUGCUUUAACCAACACUUUUUCUUGGUCUAAAAAUAUGCCUAUCCUUGCAGAAAAAAAAACUCAGUAUUUCGACACUCUGCUUUAACUUUCAUGUUUACCACUCAAAACUCUUCGGAGAAGUAAAAACUUGUAUGUAGAUGCUUCAACUUUAGAUCUUUGUUUAAAUUUAAAGAUUUUCCGUCCAGCCUAUCAGUAAACCCAUCAUAGAUACCAUGAUUCAAUUUUGUAUUUCAUCCGGACGCGGGUUUCGUCUACAAAACACUCAUCAGUGACACUCGAAUUCAAAAAAAGUUAACAAGGCCAAAUAAAGUACGACGUUGAAGAGCAUUGAGGACCAAAAUUUCUAAACGUUUUGCCAAACACAGCUAAGGUAAUCAAUUCCUGAGAUAGAAAAGCCUUAGUAUUUCAAAAAUUCAAAAGUUGUGUAAACAGAUAAUUUAUAAAUACAUGAAAUAUGACCAUAUCAAUGAUAAAUCAUGUCAGCACAGAAGUGCUGCCUACUUGGCUGGUGAUACCCUCGGAUAAUUAAAACUCAACCAGGAGUUACUUUUUACGCCAGACGCACGUUUCGUCUACAAAAGACUCAUCAGUGACGCUUGAAUAAAAAAAAAAGUUUAAAAGGUCAGAUAAAGAACUAGUAGUACGAAGUUAAAGAGCAUGUAGUUGCACCUUUUUGCAGUUGACACCAUUGCUGUGUUAAAAAGUUAUUUGCCACUGGUGGUAUAUAUUAAAAUGUACGGUGAAAUAAGUACUCGGUAGGAGUGGAUUCCAACAUCUCAAAAUAAAAGACGCAGGAAUCGAUGAAGAACAUAUCUUAUUUAUUUUCAAAUCGAAACGGCUGAUAACUUAUUUGAACUGUUUGUUUAAAAGUUUUGGUUCUAAAAUUACUAUGCAGAAUAAUCCAAACAGCAAACUAUGUUAUUUUUACCAACAACAAAAAUUAAUUCCUAAAUUUAACACUCUAAAGAUCCGGGGAACUAAGUUGAUGGAAAGUAACAAACAUAUGACGAAACGUUCGUCUGGUGUACGCGAGUAUAAGCCUGGAGUCGGUUUCACAAAAAUACUUAAGACUAAGAUUGAACGUUAGUCAUGAACAAGGUUUUUUUUGUGAAAUCGACCCCUGGAGUCUUUGAAGAGUGUUUAUGUUUGCCAAGGCCGCGUUAAGUGUUCCAAUGGCGAAACAACAUUACUUUUCAAGUUGUUAUCUACAAUACGUUAACAUUAGUUAUAUAUUACAUAUAAAAAGUUUUAAAGUUUGCUAAUUGUAUAAUUCAGCAAUCGAUGGUCAAAAUGAGUGCUCGGCAACAGGGUAUCAACUGAUGGUAAAGUGUUAAGCGCUAAGUCGUAGGUCAGACACUAGUACCUAUGUUUAUCAAACACAACUUACUUGUAUAUAGAAGUUAAAUUAUUUGUCUAGUUAAUGAUAAUUUUACGAACUAAUCCAUUCUCAUUGUAUCUGUCUGACUAAAACUAUUACAUCAUGCUAGUGACAUUAUGAAUUUUGCUCUCUUUUGAUAAGUCUUACUUAUAAGGAUUUUGACUAAACAGAAACAAUAUCAUAAAAAGUCACCGAAUAAAAAGUUGAUCGGCAUUUUGUUCACAGACAAAACACGUUGCGACCUUUAAAUUUUAAAUGUAAACCUGGAAUACCAUAGAUAGCUUUACAAUUGAUGAUGCAUUAUUAACGUAUUGUAAGUUCAUUAUUCAAAAUCUUAGUUAUUUAAGUUUUGAUCAUCAGUAUAUUGUGUUUGGUUCUUUUAAUUAUAUCAUUAAUUCAUUUUCCAGGUAUUUGUCACUAACAAUUGUUAAACGAAGAAAAUGAAGUACUUUGCCGUUGUGUUGGUACUAUCACUCUGUACUGCAGGUAAAAUGAUAUAUACAUACUAUAUGGAUGUCUAAGAAAGACUUACCAGCAAAUUUCUUAUGUACCGGAUCCGUCAUGUACUUUUUUUCUUUUAGCUAUGGUGUUGUCAAUGUGAUGUUUCCUUAUAUGAGUAUAAAUAUCCCUCUGGUAUCUUUUGACUCUCUUACGAAGUACCGAUUAUUGUGGUUUUCUGCAUAUUGAUAUUGUAAAAUAUCAGCUGCCAGUCACAAUGAAGUGAUUUGUUGUUUGUAUUUGUGUAAUUUUAUUUGUUAACACAUAUAAGUGUUUUCUUUGUUUUUUUAACAUUAUUGCAUCGCUGAUAUGUCUUCGUCAAAGUUAUUAAGGCCGGAUCAUCGUAUAUGACGUAACAAAGUCGUGGUGUGCAAUUUAAUUUUUAGAGCUGAGCAGAGUGAUACAGACAGUGAGACCGCCGAAAAUAGGUGAUAUUGCGCAGAUAAAAAACAUUUUAUGAAGUCGCAUUUGCGCAAAAAUACUUAUAUACGAUGGUUAUGUACGAAGAGAAUGUUAUAAAAUCGUAUUGACCAUCAUUUCGGAUGAAAAUAAGUAAAAUUCGUCAGUGAUUUAAAUCUAAAUUCUUGAAUUUCACAAAAUUAAACAAAACUCAAUAUUAAAUUAUCAAUGUAUCAUUUAACACAAUUUGUAGUGGAAGCGGUAAAAAAAUGGAUUCACUAUGAAUGAAGCUUCAUAAGGGGGCUCGGGCACCCACCUCAAUCCGUCCUGCACAUUUCUUUAGAUAAUAACAAUGAAACCUACCCAGAGGUCACAUGCAGUGUUAGUAUAAUCUGAUGCAUAUCAACCAAGUUGAAGAGAGAUUUUUUAUACAUAGAUGACUAUCUUUAUGCUUCAAAAGACAGUCGUUCGACAACAAGCUCAGACAAAUAUUGCUAACAGACGAGCGAGGACGAGUAAGGAGCUCAAACUUUAAUAAAAGGGGGAAGCCAAGUUAGCGUAUAGACAUAUUAUGCAUCGUUCUGAUGAGGUUAACACUUAGUUUGAUAUUUGGUUAUUUGUGAUGGCGCUUUCAUAUUUCGAAAAUAUUCAGUGGUGUCAGUUCUUGAUGAAAAACUUAGUUUUUUCAAAUCUUAACAGCUGCAUCCAUAGACAAAUCCCGACAAAACUUCCUAUUAAGGUCACUUCUAUAUAAACCUCGUCUUGAUGGUCCAUAUAUGAAGGCAUGAGUGCUUAAAGUAUAUGAUUAGGAAGAUGUGGUGUGAGUGCAAUGAGAUAACUCUCCAUCCAAAUAACAGUUUAUAAAAGUAAACCAUUAUUGGUCAAUGUACGGCCUUCAGCACGGAUCCUUGGCUCACACCGAACAACAAGCUAAACUUAGUGUAAACCAAUAUCCACUUUCGUUACAGUAUUUUCGUUGAAACUUGAUUUGAACUUCAUCAUUCGAUUAUUAUGUGCAUGAAUUAUAAAUUUUACGCAUUAGAAUAGAUUACUAGAACCUACGGAAGCAUAGCCAUAAUGCAACAACCAGAAUUUCCGACAGUUCACUGAGAAAGAUGAUGGUCCAAUAUACAUCCCUAAUGUAAUACAUUAAUAUUGUACUAUAUACAUCGUGAAUUUAUAGAGGGGUCUAAUACCAAUAGGUCUUCGACAGAUCGAGAUAAUCCCGCACCGGAGGCGCCGUAAAAAAUAUGUAAUAGUUCAGUUAAAUGGACGUCAAACUAAACUCCUACGCAUAUAAAUGAACUAACUUUUAAAAAAAAUCAUACAAGACUAUAAACACAGGCCUGAGGGUCUUGACUUGGACCAGGCGCAACACUGCGGCGGGAUUAAAUAUGUUUAAUGAGAUUUCAACCCUCCCCUCUACAUCUAGCCAAUGAAGAUUAAACAAACACACAGCAAAUGCAAAGUAACCUCGGUUUAAAAGAAGUCCAGUAUUUUUUCUGCAAAAAGAAAUCAGAAUCGAACACUUAAUAACUUUAUGAUAACACGGGUCGUGAAAUUUCAAAACUUCUUCGGCCAAAAUAAAUCGCAAAUUUUACAUAUGUCCCGACGCCACACGUCAUUCAAUUUUGAGCAGUAUACGUGAGUCGAACCACAAUAAAAAAAAAAGGUCGUUUCUAUGAAAAAGCUUAUCAUCAACGGUACAUGUCUAUAGGUAUAUUUUUUUCAGAUUAUCUAAGUACCCGCGCGCCGGAGAAAAAGCAUGCUGUCGAAUUAUAGGACCGUCGGAUUAGAAGAUUGUUGAAUUUUAGGUCCGACCACAGACAUCUAUUUGAGUUCAAUAAAAUUGAACCUGUUUUUUUUCGAUUUAUCACAUUUGACCCGGCAAGACAUUUUAAUUUUUAUUUAUGAAUGUGUUAUAAUAAUCAAUAUAUUUCGAUCGAUUUGUAACCUGGGUAUUAACAUUCAUAUAUAUUUUGUGCGGGUUAAAACGUAUCAAAUACCGUGAGUUAUAUUUUAGGAAACCGGACACCUGGCCUAAAACACACUAUACUUUUAAUAUUUUAAUCUCCUUAUUAUCUAAUUACUUUAUUAUUUAUUCUUAAUUUUACCGAGAUCAAGUACGCUUCACAUGUUGUGUUUACUUUAAUUGCAUGAGGUCUGAGAGAUGAUGUAUAUCUUUUUUUUUUUACGGUUGUAAUGGCGAUCGCUACUACCACGACGCCUAGGAGUCGCAUCACAAACUAAGGCAGAUAAUUGUAAAAACCUGUCUAUAAGUUUGAAAUUGGUAUAUCAUGUAUAAAUUAUUUUUUCGGAUUAUAAAAGUUCGACUUAGUGCAUUUACACAUGUCUUGUUAACGACCUUUUGCUGCCUUCUUAUGUAAUUUUCAGUUUAAUGUUGUUCAUGUUGCACUUGUUGACACUCACCCAUACUCCGUUUUGAUGUCAUUACUUAAAGGUUGAUAUUGCUCUUUCUUUUUGACUGUCAGUUUCUUUCAAAUUACCUUUGCCUUUUCAAAUAGAACUUUCAAAAAUUCAAAAAGCACAUGGAACGCUUAAUUUAAUAAACUGAUUAUACAGCUGAUAUGAACACCCAUUUGUUACCUCUGUAGCUUCGGCCGAAUACAAAAAAAUGACUAUUCAUUUGAAUGAAAAAAUGAAAACUUGGGCUACGCAUGUAAGUCGAUUUCUGUCUGCAAUUGAGAGGGAAAAGAUAGCAGUGCUGCACUCUCUUUUCUUUUUGUGUUUGAGGAAAAUUGUUUACUUAACAAAAGGUCGUUUCAAAGAACCACAAUUUUAAGUCAUCAUAUGGACAACUUUUUGAUGAUCAAUGUGUAGUAUGAGUAUUUCAUAUCUCAUUAAAUUUAAAUUAGCGCUGUUACAUAUACAGAUAAAUAUUGAUCAAAUUAGUUUGGUUAAUGAAGAAAUUUGUAUGCCACAUAUAUCAAAUUAGCAAUCACUGUUUUAAAUGACACAGGUGUGCAUGCUGCAAGUGAGAAGAUGACCAGCUGGGGAUUCGAUCUCUUAUGCCCUCAUUCAUCUGAUAUAUGUAACUGUGCGUGUCAAUCAUGGGNNNNNNNNNNNNNNNNNNNNNNNNNNNNNNNNNNNNNNNNNNNNNNNNNNNNNNNNNNNNNNNNNNNNNNNNNNNNNNNNNNNNNNNNNNNNNNNNNNNNNNNNNNNNNNNNNNNNNNNNNNNNNNNNNNNNNNNNNNNNN
This 7266-nucleotide long non-coding RNA is filed under the name Mytilus galloprovincialis (Mediterranean mussel). Lineage: Eukaryota; Metazoa; Mollusca; Bivalvia; Mytilida; Mytilidae. The record is from RNAcentral.